GGGGGGGGGGGGGGGGGGGGGGGGGGGGGGGGGGUCGGGGGGGGGGGCGCGGGCUUGCUUGGGUACGCGAGUGGCGGACGGGUGGGUAACACGUGGGUGAUCUGCCCUGCACUUCGGGAUAAGCCUGGGAAACUGGGUCUAAUACCGGAUCGGACGAUGGUCGUGAUGCCAUUGUGGAAAUUUCUUUCGGUGUGGGAUGAGGUCGCGGCCUAUCGGCUUGUUGGUGGGGUAAUGGUCUCCCAAGGCGUCGCCGGGUAGCCGGCAUGAGAGGAUGUAGGGCAGAAUUGGGACGGAGAGACGGCCCAGAAGCGUACGGGAGGCAGAAGGGGGGAAUAUUGCACAAUGGGCGCAAGCCUGAUGCAGCGACGCCGGGUGGGGGAUGACGGACUUCGGGUGGUAAACUCCUUUCGCUAGGGACGAAGCGUUUUUGUGACGGUACCUGGAGAAGAAGCACCGGCUAACUACGUG
RNAcentral lists this ribosomal RNA (468 nucleotides) under uncultured bacterium. Its description in RNAcentral is "partial 16S ribosomal RNA". The stretch from base 48 to 468 matches the Rfam family "Bacterial small subunit ribosomal RNA", at positions 37 to 507 of the family's 1533-position model. The record is from RNAcentral.